UUGCUUUAGCAGCAUAUAUACCAGUAGAGAGGACAAUACAGAGAAGAUCAGCAUGGCCCCUGCUCAAGGCCGCCAUGGAAUCCAUGAAGCACUCCAUAUGUAA
This is a small nuclear RNA of Onychomys torridus (southern grasshopper mouse), 103 nucleotides long. The record is from RefSeq and is a predicted model, not a curated record. Lineage: Eukaryota; Metazoa; Chordata; Mammalia; Rodentia; Cricetidae.